RNAcentral lists this ribosomal RNA (756 nucleotides) under Phyllactinia fraxini. RNAcentral describes it as "eukaryotic LSU rRNA". It matches the Rfam family "Eukaryotic large subunit ribosomal RNA", at positions 1 to 770 of the family's 3401-position model. The record is from RNAcentral. Lineage: Eukaryota; Fungi; Ascomycota; Leotiomycetes; Helotiales; Erysiphaceae.
UUGACCUCGAAUCAGGUAGGGAUACCCGCUGAACUUUAAGCAUAUCAAUAAGCGGAGGAAAAGAAACCAACCGGGAUUACCCUAGUAACGGCGAGUGAAGCGGUAACAGCUCAAAUUUGAAAUCUGGCUCCCUGCGGAGUCCGAGUUGUAAUUUGUAGAAGAUGCUUUGGGUGCUCGGCCCGGUCUAAGUUCCUUGGAACAGGACGUCGUAGAGGGUGAGAAUCCCGUAUGCGGCCGGGGUGGGUGCUCGUGUAAAGCUCUUUCGACGAGUCGAGUUGUUUGGGAAUGCAGCUCAAAAUGGGUGGUAAAUUUCAUCUAAAGCUAAAUAUGGGCCAGAGACCGAUAGCGCACAAGUAGAGUGAUCGAAAGAUGAAAAGCACUUUGGAAAGAGAGUUAAACAGUACGUGAAAUUGUUGAAAGGGAAGCGCUUGCAACCAGACUUGGGCGUCGCUGAUCAUCCAAAGUUUUCUUUGGUGCACUCGACGACGUACAGGCCAGCAUCGGUUGGGGUGGUGGGAGAAAGGUUGUAGGAACGUAGCUCUUUUCGGGGAGUGUUAUAGCCUGCGACGCAAUGCCGCCUACCCUGACCGAGGACCGCGCUUCGGCUAGGAUGCUGGCGUAAUGGUUGUAAGCGACCCGUCUUGAAACACGGACCAAGGAGUCUAACAUCUAUGCGAGUGUUUGGGUGCGAAACCCAUGCGCGAAAUGAAAGUGAACGUAGGUGAGAACCCUUCGAGGGGGCAUCAUCGACCGAUC